AGGAAGAAUUAGCGCUGCAAGCUGUUUUCUCAGUGAUCUGUUCUGAAAAACCCCUGAAAAAGGAAAAAACAAAGAAUAUGGGUGAAAGAAUGGAUCAGCACACACAGGCACCAGGGAUUGUCUGUGCUAGAGAGAGUUGAAGUGAUGGGAGAUCAAUACGGCACAUCGAGAACACGAGAUUCCAUUUUCUGACCUGUUAUCUUCAUCCGUCUCCACCAGAGUUGCCAUGACUACAACCAACAGGCCACCUUCCUCUCCUGAGCAUCCGCUCCUCAUAAAAACAAGUACGUUGUAACAAAGCUGCACAUCUUCAAUCCUCAACGCAGAUGACACGCGGCCUUCAGCCCGACAACACCGAGCCAAAAAGGCCACAGCUGGAACGAGGCGUCCCAAUCAAGCCAAAGGAGCGUAAAAUGAAGAUGCCAGCCUGAGCUGAGGAGCGCCGCGGGCAUCACAAACCACUAAGCAGCUUCCUCCUGUCCCUGACGUGCAGAUUGUGCUGAAGAUUAAUGAGUCGGCCGGCGGCUUCAUCAGUGAGCAGCUUCACCUUCUGACUCUCUGAACAAGCACACGAGUCAAAGCUCACGCUGAAGACCUGCUGCCUCACUUUAUUAUGACACACAGCACCCUGCAGCCAUCUGAAUGGCCGACCGUCAUUACAGUCCUGGACAGAUGAUGGGUCUCACUUAAAGACACACGACAAGGCUCAAAAAAUAAUAGACACUUUAUACAGUAUGACGACGGAAAUGAUUCAACUGAUUAUCGUUUUAUAACAGAUAUAUCUGAUCAGAUAUCAGUAGACAAGUCUGCUAUAUGUUAUUCUGCCUUCACGUGCUAUCGGAAAUUUGAUAAUUCCCACUUCUGAAGUCGUGAUUACAAGCUCAUUGCAUUCAAGUUUCGAAAUGGGAGGGCAUUCAUGUGCAAUUUUUACCUAGAAAACUCGUAUUUAUGAUAAUUCCGAGAGCAUGUGAAGGCAGCAUUAUUUACAAAUGAGAGUGACUUAUGAAUGUAUGUCUGUGUGUGUGUGUGUGUGUGUGUGUGUGUAUGUAUAUAUAUAUAUAUAUAUAUAUAUAUAUAUAUACUGUAUUUAUACAACAGUUCUUUCUGGUUCUGAUUGGCUGAGAGGUCUUUCCAGCCAUGCGAUAUUCUACCAGUAUCGCCACGGGAACCGUUUCACCGUUUGAAUCACUCACAGCGAGUGUCAUGGCGGACGAGCAAACCCACCAUAUUUUUGUAGAUUUUUUUUUUUAUAUAUUUAUGAGUUUUAUGAUAUAUUUUUGAGUUUUUUAGGCAAGAAUAUAGUUGCUUAGACCUCAGAUAUGUGAUUUAUAUGUAAACAUAGCGCCUAUUUGAAAAUUUGUUUAGACGAUUUCGGAGAUGCGAGCUCCAGGCCGUCAGCAACCGUUCAGCGCUCAUGUACCGGCAGAGAACAGCUUCAUCUCGGCCAGUCCUUCAGGAAUUUGCCGCUGGCUCUUAUGUAGAUAGUGUUUAAACAUGAGGUAUAAUUCAUUUUGGGUAUAUCAAACAGGCAAUCUUUGGUCUUAUUAAUUUAUUACUUGUUCCAGAGCUAAUACAUUUGCUUUAAUGGCUAUAUUAAGUUUCAUAACUUUAUAUUUACAUUGAAAUUAAAUCCUGUAAUGUUACUAACUAGAGCGCUGCUUUUGUACGUUUCUGAACUGUUUGCUUGUAUUUAUUUCCUAUUUUACUUCUUAUACUGUUAUAAUGAC
Molecule: long non-coding RNA, 1727 nt
Organism: Ctenopharyngodon idella (grass carp)
Lineage: Eukaryota; Metazoa; Chordata; Actinopteri; Cypriniformes; Xenocyprididae
Exons: 3
Source: RefSeq, a predicted model, not a curated record